CAAAACUACAAAAACUUAGUCUCAGUUCGGAUUGUAGGCUGAAACUCGCCUACAUGAAGCUGGAGUUGCUAGUAAUCGCGCAUCAGCCAUGGCGCGGUGAAUACGUUCCCGGGCCUUGUACACACCGCCCGUCAAGCCAUGGAAGCCGGGAGUGCCUGAAGUGUGCAACCGCAAGGAGCGCCCUAAGGUAAAACUGGUGACUGGGGCUAAGUCGUAACAAGGUAGC
RNAcentral lists this ribosomal RNA (226 nucleotides) under uncultured bacterium. Its description in RNAcentral is "partial 16S ribosomal RNA". It matches the Rfam family "Bacterial small subunit ribosomal RNA", at positions 1268 to 1500 of the family's 1533-position model. The record is from RNAcentral.